GAGUCGUUCCCCGAAGAUGGCGCCCAGUGGAGUCGCCUGCCUUGCUCGCGGCCCACCCCGAGGCGGUCACACCCCGGUCCCGCCCCCGCAGCCCCAAAAAUCAGGCGGAAGCACCGGAGCAAAAACUGUAUUUACACAACACGGGGUUAUACAAAAAUUUGAAAAGGCGGAGUGAGGAGACGACGGUCAGGAGGCGCCACAGCGCUGGCCGGCGGCGAGACCCAGGAUGUUUGCCUGCAACACAGGAGGGAGGGAGACAGCGACGUUAGAGAGGGGCGCGGGGCGCAGGACAGGCAGAGGAGGGGCAGGGCCGUGACUUCACCUUCAGGAAGGACUCCAUCUGUUUCCCCGUUAUGCCCUCCACGCGUUCCAGGUCCUCCACCUGGCGGGACAGGAUCGAUAGGGGACAGGGUCUCGGGGGUACCCGGUCUCCCCCGCCCCCGCCCUCCCCCAGUCCAGUGGGCUGCUACCUGGCUGAAGGGGCCGUGGAGCUCCCGCCAGCCCACGAUUAGCUGGGCCUUCUUCGGGCCAAUGCGCUGAAGACUGCGGAGAUCUCGGGCUGAGCCUUCGUUCAGCAGAUCCAGUAUUUUUUGGCGCCCAUGAGCCAGUAGCUCCGGGCUGAUCUGUAGCUCCCAGCAGUCCUCAGCCUUCUCCUCAGGCUCUAGGGCAUCCAGGGACUCCAGCUGGGAGGCAAAGGGAGAUGAGUGACACGCAGGGCAGCCAAGUGCUUUGGGCUCCUCUGCCAAGACUAGGAGCCCAGCACCAGCUACCUCCUGCGCUCCAGCCUCUUCCUCUCUUGUCAAGUGUGUCCAAAAUCCCGCCCUCAGGUCACUCUCUGGGUUAAUUCUUAUUAUGCAACUAGUGAAAGAGAGGUACUACUCAGUACCCAGUGGUAAUAUUAGCACCCUUCUCAUGGAGUUGCUGUGGAGAUCAAGUGAGUUAAUGAAUGUAAAGCACAAAAUAAGCUCUUAAAUCUGGUCCCUCAUCUCUAAAAGGGAAAGAAUAAGCUGUCUUUCAAAAAGUACAUGGGAGAAAGUAAUAUGAAUAAAUGAUACCUCCCCCAACCAUCUCAGUUUUUGGGUAGUUCUAGUGGUGUUCGAUUCUGGGUAUGUGCAUAUGUGUGGUUUCUUGCUUGACUGCUUAGGUCAUAGUUCCCUAAGUUUUCCCUCUUAAGCUUGUAGAGGGUAGAAGCCAGGCUACACAGUGGAACAUCCGCUCUGCGAGGUACAUCCACAUCA
RNAcentral lists this long non-coding RNA (1238 nucleotides) under Homo sapiens (human). Its description in RNAcentral is "non-protein coding lnc-CDIPT-4:2". The record is from RNAcentral. Lineage: Eukaryota; Metazoa; Chordata; Mammalia; Primates; Hominidae.